UACGUAGGGGGCAAGCGUUGUCCGGAUUUACUGGGCGUAAAGCGCGUGUAGGCGGCCAAGCAGGUCCGUUGUGAAAACUGGAGGCUUAACCUCCAGACGUCGACGGAAACCGCGUGGCUAGAGUCCGGAAGAGGAGAGUGGAAUUCCUGGUGUAGCGGUGAAAUGCGCAGAUAUCAGGAAGAACACCAAUGGCGAAGGCAGCUCUCUGGGACGGUACUGACGCUGAUGCGCGAAAGCGUGGGGAGCAAACGGG
This 253-nucleotide ribosomal RNA is filed under the name uncultured bacterium. Its description in RNAcentral is "partial 16S ribosomal RNA". It matches the Rfam family "Bacterial small subunit ribosomal RNA", at positions 524 to 776 of the family's 1533-position model. The record is from RNAcentral.